Molecule: long non-coding RNA, 410 nt
Organism: Helianthus annuus (common sunflower)
Lineage: Eukaryota; Viridiplantae; Streptophyta; Magnoliopsida; Asterales; Asteraceae
Exons: 2
Source: RefSeq, a predicted model, not a curated record
AACAAGAACAAGGUGUUGUUCUUGAAGAGCAGGAAGGAUAAUCAGCAACAACAAAACAAUAAGGAUCGUAGGUGCAAUAUUUGCAACCAGAAUUUAUUAGACGCGUCUUACUGCAGCAUCCAGUGCAAGAUUUUUGCAAUAACAAGUGAAAACAAAGAAGGGUCUGCAGUUGAUGACAAUGUGUUACAUAAUGCAAGUGAAGAACCUACCUUAACACCUUGCAGGAAUAAUCGACGAAAAGGGUUUCCGUAUAGGGCACCACUGUUUUGAACAAUGUAAUUCCUAGCAGAUGAUAAACGAGUGCUCUAUGUUAUGACUAUCUCAGACUUGAUAUCUUUAAUCGUUUAUUUGAUCCGUGUAGUUGACUCGUAGUCCUCACAUAUCGGUUUUUUGUCAUAUCAUCUUAUUUA